This 649-nucleotide ribosomal RNA is filed under the name uncultured bacterium. RNAcentral describes it as "bacterial SSU rRNA". It matches the Rfam family "Bacterial small subunit ribosomal RNA", at positions 43 to 683 of the family's 1533-position model. The record is from RNAcentral.
CAGGCCUAACACAUGCAAGUCGAGGGGUAACAGGAGAGAGCUUGCUUUCUUGCUGACGACCGGCGCACGGGUGCGUAACGCGUAUGCAACCUACCUUCUACAGGGGGAUAGCCCAGAGAAAUUUGGAAUAAUACCCCAUACGAUCAAUAAUUGGCAUCGAUUAUUGAAGAAAACUCCGGUGGUAGAAGAUGGGCAUGCGUCCUAUUAGUUAGCUGGUGAGGUAACGGCUCACCAAGACAUCGAUAGGUAGGGGCCCUGAGAGGGGGAUCCCCCACACUGGUACUGAGACACGGACCAGACUCCUACGGGAGGCAGCAGUGAGGAAUAUUGGACAAUGGAGGCAACUCUGAUCCAGCCAUGCCGCGUGCAGGAAGACUGCCCUAUGGGUUGUAAACUGCUUUUAUACAGGAAGAAACCUACUUACGUGUAAGUAGCUGACGGUACUGUAAGAAUAAGGAUCGGCUAACUCCGUGCCAGCAGCCGCGGUAAUACGGAGGAUCCAAGCGUUAUCCGGAAUCAUUGGGUUUAAAGGGUCCGUAGGUGGUUAAUUAAGUCAGAGGUGAAAGCCAGCAGCUCAACUGUUGAACUGCCUUUGAUACUGAUUAACUUGAGUUAUUGUGAAGUAGUUAGAAUAUGUAGUGUAGCGGUG